This is a long non-coding RNA of Neofelis nebulosa (Clouded leopard), 10909 nucleotides long. RefSeq lists it as uncharacterized. The transcript is spliced from 3 exons. The record is from RefSeq and is a predicted model, not a curated record. NCBI's taxonomy places the organism in Eukaryota, Metazoa, Chordata, Mammalia, Carnivora, Felidae.
GCGCGGCCGGGGGCGGGGCCUGUCUCCCGGGAAACCACCCUCGGGCCAAUGCGCGACGCCAGCCCCGGGUUUCGGUUGAGCGGCGGCUGUUAGACGCCCUGAACCGUUGCCACCCCCGGCCGCCAGUUGCGGGUAGAGGGGCCUCUGAGACUGGGGUACCGAGGCCCCUGCGACUCGGCGGCCGCGGCUAGGCCAGACGGGGGCCAGUGGCCGUCCUUUGCGACAGUAGACAGGGUUCGGGUUCGCGAUCCGCCCUGGUGGGUCUCGGGUGCGGGUGUCCGGCCGGCCGUUGCCCGCCCCAGUCUCCUGCAGCUGGAGGCGUGCGUCCCCCAGUGGGGGAGCGGCGGGAGUGCGGGCGCGGGAGGGGCCGCUGCCGGGCGAGGGUGAGCCAAGUCCGCUCCCCCGGCCGUGACCCGGUCGCCCCAUGCAGGUUCAGCGGCCGGAAGCCUGGCCGCAGCUCGCACCCGCUCCCCCCGCCGGAGCUCCCGGAGGUCCCUCGCCGGCAGCGCCUGUGUGUGGCUUCGAGAGGAGGAAAGUUGACUGUGAAGUAGCCUCGGAGUCACUCCUGCCCAGGCCUGCAAGUCACCGUUGCGGGUGUCAGUCUGUCGUUACCCAACUUAGGGCCACAGAAGUUUGAUCCUAUGAAUACCCGGGAUAAUCCGUGGUCUCAUCAGCAAAGGCAAAUGCCUUACCCACCUGCUUCUUCCCCUCACUGCUUUCCUCCCAAAUGGUUCUCACUGGCUUCAAAACCUCUUCUUCGGUGAAUUCUAGUAGACUUGAUUUUGGAGCGUCCUUUAAGGUUCCAUUCCUCAAGGAUUGUCCAGGGCCUUCGGAGAAUAUGCAGAAUGUGUAAGUGCCAGACUUUUGAAGGCAACAAUGUUUGGCUCCUUGCCUAAGGAUGGAGGCAGAUAUCAUGGGAGCCCAGGAGUGUGUGUGACCCCUACAGCCAGCACUAAUGAGUAUGGUAGGGAACCUCAAAGCCAUGCUGUAUAUUUUGUGUCAUGGUGAAGUCUCUGUCAUUUGCUCAGUUACUCCUUUGAGUAUCCAAGAGAAAUACUUAUGGCCACUAGAUAAACUUGUAGGCUGUAUAUAGGAUAUCUUAAUAUGUCAAUAGUUUGAUUAGUAUAAUAAAAACAGCACAGAAAUCGUAAGACUAGGAGCAUGUGUAACCUCAACAGCUGUGGGGUUUAUAUGGCUGUAGAUAUGAUAAUAGCUGAGAUGUACAGUGUUUAUCAUGUGUCAAGCGUUGUCAUAGAGGUUGACAUCUAUAAACAUAUUGCGUCAUCACAUGUAGAAACUUCCUAACAAUCCUAUGACUUUAGGUAUUAUUAUCCACAUAUUACAGAUUAGGAAAAGAGGAACAAAGAGGUUUGGUAAUGUGUUCAAGAUCACAAUGAACAAAUGAUGACUUAAGCCCAUGUAGUCUGUUUCCAGAGUUCUUUUAACCACUGAAAAUGAUCAAAGACAAAGAAGAGGUAAAGAUUUCAACUUUCAGGAGGGCAUAUAGUAGUGGGAGCUGUGUAUCUGUGGGGAAAAGAAAAAGACUUUCAAAUAACACUGAUUUUAGGUUGUAUACCAAAUAGAGAUGUACGGAAAGCUAGACAAAGACAUGCUAAGGAAGAAGAUUCAAAAAAUGAUCAAGUUAUGUUUUGUACUCACUGCAAGUAAACAGAAAGUGUGAAUUACACUGAUGAGUAUGGUCAGAUAUUUCAUGUAAACUUCAUGCAAUACAGAUAACCCAGUAAUGGCAGAAAUGCUGCAAAACCAACUUGCAGGAAGACCUCCACUUCUCUACAUGAAAUACUUGAAUACUUUCAGUUUCAAAAUGGAAAAUUGCUUAGAUACUACUUGCCACAUAGAAGAAAUAGAGGCUGAAAAGUCUUCUCAGUUCCAUUUAUUAUUAACCAAUUGAGAAUAAAACCAACGAAUGGUAUGUAAAAGAACUUUGGUUUAAAGGUGACAACAUGGACAUUAUUAACUCACAUGAAGCACAGUGAGAUUUGCAAAUGACUGGAAGAUCCCACAAUCCUCCAGACCAAUCCUUGUAAUCCAGAGGACUCAUAGGGGAGCAGGACAAUCAAUAGGUGUACCCACAACUUGGGUUGAGUGUGUUGUUGGCAGGGAUUCUGGCUUUCUUGAAAGAGUGGGACGCUUUGUGGGCUUGUGAUUGGUUUUUCAAGUCAAGUGGUUAUGAGAGAGUAUUGUAUAUAACUGUAGAUGGGGUGAAAUCUUUAACCUAACCUGAGAGUAAUCACUGAAGUCCUCUCUGCACCUACUGGAUGAGCGGCAUGACUUCAUACAGCUCAUAAGUGGCACUCAUCUGCAUAUGAAUCUGAUAUUUUCACAAAGGCUACAACAAACUGUGAGCAAGGAGAGAGAGUACUCAGAUUGUGCUGAAAGGUAUAAUAAUGCAGAAGCUCUGUAGAUGUUUUCUUAACGUUAAUUUUGACCAUGGUCUAAAAUGUCCAGAGUGUUGGUAAUCUAGUAUAGCUUGUAGCCCAUAAUAAAUGGAUGCUAUAUUUGCAUUACUAUAAUACUUAUACUCAAGAUAAGUGAAAUAAUUUAAUAUAACCAGCUCAGCUACAUUAUGAUAAUCUGGAGUUUUCUACUCAAAAGAAUUGAAUGAGGAUGUACUUUUGAAGGGCCAGUUCAGUAUUUAAGGCAUUGUCAACAAUGAGUAGGAAAGGGAGCAUUCCUCUGCUAGGAUCAGCUCUACUCCGAAACUAUGGCUAUGCCUUUUUUUUUUUUUUUUUAAGUAAGUAUUACUUUCUAAAUUGAAAUGAUCUCACAAAAGACUUGGCUUGAAGCUUGGUGAAGAAUAACCUUGUACAUAAUGGACACAGAGGGCAUUGGAUCGGAGUGUUUGAUGAAUGUGGCUUCUCAGGUCUCUCCAACUCCUCCUAAGACAGGUGUUUAGGCUGGUGCUACUCAGGUUCUGCCUGCCCAGGAUGGAGGAGCUUUAUAAGGCUCUUAUAUCCCCAACUACAUUAAUCUGAAAUUCCAGUAUAUUAUAUGGUUACAAAAACUGCCUUUCACAAGCCAGGUUGUCUGGAUCUAACCUUCAGGAUCCAGGAAUGAUCCUUGCUAAGCGACCAACACUGUCUUGCUACAUUGCCUGUAGUUGAUACAAUAAUGAUUAGGCAUCUUACACAGUCAUAUUGUGAUGUUGUAAAGAAAGAAGAAGCUGUGAGGGGCAUAAGAAUUCAGGUCUGCAAUGGUCAAAGGUAUAGUGGGAGCUAAGCAAAGCACUCUAGUCAGUUCCUACCACAUCUAUGGGAAGGUAUGUCUGGGUGUUGAAGGUGUUUGUGACCACACUCAUGGUGCUUAUGGGCAUAACAAAACCCAACCGCAUAUGUUUUUGCCAAAGAUAAAUUAUUACGCCCAGACCUGGCUGUGGAAACCAUUUGGUUGUUCAGAUAUCUGUCUGGGACAUCACAAGGCAUAGGCAGCUACUGACUAGCUGCCAGAGUCAGAACCAGUGGUAACUGUUACAAUGGUUUCCUCACAGAGUAAUAGCCAGCGUUUGUGUCAUAGGAUAUAUUGGUUUAGAAGCAGACAUGGCAAAUAUUAACUCUUUGUUGAUGUUUACGGAAGAAUGUGGCCUCCAGAAAAAGUGUUUUGUAUAAAUACAAGAAACUUGUGUCCCCAUCCCAGAUUUCACUAACGCUGUUUGAGGGUUUAUGAGUGGGAACUUAAAAGUACAAUCUGCACUGAUCAAUUUAAUAUGGUGCUUUUCAGCCUUUUUUUUUGUUGUUCCCCCUCCCACAAAGAGACUUUCUAAAUUUUCUCUUAAAGUGUUCACAGAUUUAUGACCAGUUGAUGAAUAUUGCUUUUCCCCAUAGGUAAGGAUUAAUGAAGAGUGUAGGAUUUUACUGUUACUGCAGCCAGUACUAGGUAUUUUAUUUUCAUUUUGCAGUUGGGAGAGAAGCAAGCAACUUUGUCUCUUUGGAGUAGAAAGUUCAGACUGGUAAAAGUUAGGAUUUCCCCUCCUUUCUUUUAACUUGGGAGAAAAAAUUAAAGUACCUUUUUACAUCGGGAAUGUUUUCUUGGUAAAAUUUUAAGAUAGCUGUUGCUUAUUUUUGCAGGUAUUUUUACGCUGGGGACAAAGAGUUAAGACUAUAAACAGUAUCCUAUCUCUGGGUUUUAAGCAACUUUUUAACAGGGUUUUUAGAAACUGAGACUAAACUUUUCUUGUCUUGAGUUUUAAAGCUAUUUUGCGAGCUAAUUACAUUAGGAACUAACACAAAGGAAAUUAUGUCUUGGAACUUUGCAACCUUUUACACUUUCUACUUUGGUAGUUGGUUACAAAUGAGGGUGGUGGAUGAUGGUGGGCAGGACCAGUGCAGUGGUAUUUGACUUAUAUGACCGAAUGGAAAAGGGACAACCACUGAUCUCAUUAUGCAUUAAAAUAUAAGCAUAUAAUUUAAUGAUGACACUGUGUAACCACCACUGAGGUCAAGAAAGAAAAGACUGCCAGCCUUCCACAUGUUGGUUCCAAGUUACGGCCCUUAUCCCCACAGGUAACCACUAUUGUGACCUGCAGAGUAAUUCCUUUUUUUAUACCCAUGUUCCUCAAAGCACGGUCUGGCAUGAGCAUCAUCUGGGAACUUGUUAGAAAUGCAAAUUCUUGGGCCCUCCCCUAGACCUAACACAUGUACACAUUUUUGUGUGUAGGAUGCAUAUUUAUGUGAAUUAAAGUAUAAAGCAGUAAUUCUCAAGCUUUAGCAUGUAUCAGAAUGACUUGGAUGGCCCAUUAAAACAGAGAUGCUGGGGCCUACACUGACAGUUUUUGAUGAUCUCUUUAUGGUGGUUUCAUUCCCUGAUUCUAAUUUUCUAAUGUGCUGGGUAUCUUUGACUCUGUGCUAGUCAUUGCACUUGACAUGUUAUUUUGCAGGAAUAACUAACUGUGAGGCCUAUAAAGAAGGUACUUUACCCCAAAGAGUAUUUGCAUUUGCUUCUGCUAGGCACCUGGGGGCACCAUCAGUCUGGGAUCGCCUGUUCAGAGUUUGAUAUACCCUGGACAAUGCAAGGGAUUUUUGCCAUGUUUUAAUUCUCUUUAGAUUAUUCCAAUUCUUGCUCCCUUCAUUCUGAGAUCCUGGAACCCAGGUUGUUGUAGGGGAAGGCCUCCUGUCAGGUCCCCCAACUUGUAUGGAUCUAGAGUUAGUCCUCUUCUUUACCCUGAUAGGCCAUAAAACGGGAGGUUCUAGUUUUCUGGGAUUAGUUAGUGCUAUCAGGACAAAAGUGGCUUCAGGCUUGUUCCCUUCUCUAGAUCCUUGACUUCUCUUUACUUUCGGCCUGAUGAUUCCUUGCUAUUUUAUAAUCUCUUUGAUGCCUUUGAAAAGAUUAUUUAAAUAUAUUUUAUCCAGCCUUUUUAGUUGUAUUCAGUUGUAGGACUGAUGUGAACAACCUGAACCAAACCUUUACCAGAAGGGAAAUCUGGAAAAUACAUUAUUAAUACACAGUAUUUUUUCAAAAUACUGUGGUUUUUCAAAACAUUAAGGAUCUAUGGAUAUUUAUAUCCUUAAAAAAAACUUUUAUCUUUAGCUGACAACUUCACCCAGACAUGGGACACACAAGAUGGUUUGGGUACAAAACUUUCCAUAUGAAAAAACUUGCAUAUUUACAACCUUUAACCACUCCUAAAGGCUCUGAUAUUUCUGGUGGGUUCCGAGGAAUGCUUCCCACAAAUGCAGAGCCUUCCAAAAUGCAGAGAUGUGCCUAGUGCAGGCUCCAUUUUGCAGUUUAUGGCACUUUCUAUGAGGUUUAAUUUUACCCUUAGCUUUAACCAGUCUGGACACACCAAAUUUAGGAAACAUAGAUGGCUUACACAUUUAUCCCUAGGACAGUUUCUGUCUGGGAUAGCAUGUGGAAUGCCCCAAAUUUUUAUCGGCAAGUUCUAAGCACUUGAUGAAUUUUAACCACCUCUCUCUCCCCCACAAAAAGUAGGUUAUAUCAUCUUUUUCCCCCCUGAUUGACUCCAAUGUCAUGUUGAUCCCUUAAGAUAGGCAAGAUUCUCAUGGAGAAAGUACCCCAUCUCAACCCAUUGCUGAUGAAUCAGAAUACAUUCUUUCUGGGUAGAGCUGAAUCUUUUAUAGUUAUCUUUAGAUAUAUUUUGAAGGGGAUUGGAGAUGGAAAUACAUUAAUGCUACACGCGUGAAUUUGGGAAGGAAACUGGCAGGCUUUCCAGGUGUCAAGAGAUUGUUGGGAAUUUGGUGAGAUACUUUAUUUUGAACACUCUCACUGGGGUUGACAAUUAGGAUGUGUAGCAAUCCGUGUAGGCUAGGCUUGAGGUAGGAAUCAACAAACUCUGAGAGCUAUUUGUAGAGUCCUUUAAAGAUACUUGACGGUCAUUUGAUGAGCAUCAGGAUCCCCUGAAGGUGGUAAGUCUUGCUUGCAGUGGAGCCCAUGACCCCUGUAAGUUGUGGGUCAGGAUAAAUGCCAGAUUUUGAUCUUCAUGGUAGCAAGCAUUAGCUCAUCUCAGAUAAAGGCUAUAACCCAACUAGUUAGAGCAGAGAAUGCCUUAAGGCAGUAGAGCACACGCUGCUCCCCAGUGCCUUUCUUCUCCUUCCCUAAGAUGUGCCCAAAAUCUAUGGGCUUAUGGCACGAGUGCAGGACGGGCGUCCCACCAGGUCAGAGGGACACUGAGUCUCCUCAGUCUGUGUUUUUCUUUAUCAGUUUAUAGAAGAUGAUGUUCUAGCUACCUUGUUGCUGAACCUCAAGUUCAUGUUUUGAGUACAGACCUUCAAACUAUACCAUAGGAUGCAGGAACUUUAUAGUUCAGAGGUACAAAUAAUGGUUGGGGAAAGGGUGCUUUGUGUAUAACACGGGGCUUUCCAACCAGGGGAUUUCUUAAGUUACAAUACUUAAAAAAAGUCAUGACCCGCCACAAUCCACCCCUUAGCUCAUGACUUUUGUGUGGACCAGCACAUUGAUCUCCAGACCAACAUGAUGACAUCAUUAUUUUCACAUAACUCGUCCCUUAAAAUAGAAAUAUUGCUUUCACAAAUAAUAAACUUCCUUAUUAUAAAUUCCUACUUUACUAAAUGGUAUGGAGAACUAGGACCACAUGGAAGUCCACUCAGUUUAAUCAUUUACUUAUGGACAUAUUUUAUUGAAUCCCAAGUGUUUGGGCAGUGGUCUGGGAUGUAGGCAUUUCCCCUGUUUAAUAAUACAUGCCCCUUCUCCCUCCCCAGCUAAAAUAUAAUCUUAAGGACAUGUGGAUAUAGACCACCAUAUAUCUUAUGGUUACCAUUUCUUCAGCAUUACUGUUGCAUAGCUGGCCAUCUAUAGCUCUAUCACUGAUCUCUGAAGUAGCCCUAUCAAUCUGAACUUUGGAAAUUAUAUAGUAAGUUCUGUUCCUGAGCCCAGCAGGGAUUUGGGGGAACCAUUUAGUGGCUCCCAGUGCUGGUCUACUUAGUUCCAAAUAGCAUCUCCCCCUGUAUUCCUCAGGCAGUCAUGGGUAUACAUGGGGUUCUCAUAUCCAGUAAGUGGGAGAAUUAGGAGUAGACCUACAGUUAUUGACAAAACCCAGAGUCCCAAUUUUUGGUACUUAAUAUGGAUGUUAUAAUAUAGGACUUUUAUGAGCAUCCUUGAUGUUACAAAUGCUGGUGCCUAGUCCCUUUAUCUCAGACUCAGAGAAAGCAUAUUUAUAUAGGGUUGGGACUAUGCCUUAGGAUGGCAGGAGCCGGGAAUGUAAGGGGUUGGGGAAUGGAUCUUCCCUCUCAUGGGUCCAGUUAAAUGACUAGGUACAAUCAACCCUGUUCCAGCUGAUAGAGAUUUGGUGAGUCUCAUAUGCCCUAUCCCCACAUAUAUUUUCUCUCUUAACUGCAGGAGAGCCUUCCAUUUAUCAUCCCUUUUAAACGUAGCCUUUGUGUAGGCUAUCCAGCUUCUGGACUUUGCCUGUUUUUUUAUUCAGUACCAUGAUUUACCAUCCCUCAAUUGUUCUAGAAUAAAGUAUGUAUCUCCAGCAGUUGGGCUAUGUAUUAUUCUGUAUCUGCAGCCUCUAGGCUAAUUAGAUAACUUGGUAUAUAGCCAAACAAGCGAUUUAGUAUCUUCUUGAGGAAAUUCAAUUACUACAGGUGCUCUGAAUCACCUGAGAUGUCUAGGGCAAUGACUGUGAUCAUUCAAGGUAAAACUCAUAUAAUCAGUGUUUUUUUUUUUUUUAAUGUACACACACACAUACACACACACACACACACACACACACACACUAGAAUGAGGACUAUUUGCUUGCUGGCUGUAACCUUAUUUAAAGUGGUAUUAUAGCUAGCCCUUCCAUAAUUAAUCUUCACUGUCUUCAGUGCAGGUAGCAGAAUCCUCUUUGUGUUUCUUUCAGAAAGUUUCCAUGCAGUUAGCUCCAGCUACAGCAAUAUGUCAUAGGCAUUGAACUUUGGGGCAAUGACUGGUCAGAGCUCCAAGCCAAAGAGUCUCCCGAAGAGAGCACUCUACUCACCUUCCUCACUGGGAACUAAUACCUGGAAUAGUACCAUGCACAUCUUUGUCGUACUGAACUUUGUCUUAGUAAAAUAAAGUUUUCUUUAAGAAGACUCUUCAGUGAGGAUGACUUUAAGAACAUGGCCAGGACCACCAGUGUUCUCAAGGGAGGAGAUGGCAGACUCAUUGGUUUGGCAGCAGCCCAGGCCAGCUUUUCCCCUGCAACUUUCCAAGCUUGUUUCUGUAGUGGUUGGAGCCAAAUAACCACUCGUAGACUUUGUUAUAGAAGGAAUGGUGAAGUCAUAUACAAAGAGCAGAAUGGGGUCAGCUAGAUGCUUUCUAUAGGUAGCUAAACUCAUCAUUUAGUCAAACUAGGAUGAACUGUGAUAGGCAGCUAAAGGUUCUUUUCUGUGUGGGGAGAAAAGGAGAGGAUGGGGCACAGAUAGUAUUGUAUCUUCCCUAUUUGUAUGACCUAUUCAGUGUUUUCAGGCCUGUUCUCUCUGUUAGCCUGCAGACUCCUGCAAGGGUACUUGUGACUUGCUGUUCCUGAAACAUUUGUGUCUCAACCACACCCCACACUAGGCCCCACCUUCCAUAGCCACGCAUCUGUUACUUGCACAUAAAGCCUCUGUUCCCAAAUGUUCCCAGUGGAGGAAGCGGCCUAAUUUGGGGUCACUGGCUUCCCUCUAGGGGCAGUUGUCUUGGAACUGUCUGAAGUUUGAACACAGGGUUGAAGGGCAGACAGUAUGGUGAGCAAUCUUAUUAUUUCUCUUGGUAUUUCCUUACCAUGACAGUAAAGGUUGCCCAUCAAUUUGGGCCUCUUUUGGCCUGUCUUUUAAUAGCCAGACCAACCGGUCUUUCCACUGAGAACCUCUUUUUUUUCUCUUUUUUAUAUCCCCCCACCCAUUUUCUUUUGGUUAUUUGGGGAGCUGAAAUUCCCAGAAGUCUUCCUAAGCCAUCUUUUCUAAAAUUAUGCAUAGAGACUGCUAGUUACCUACCACUCUAUUCAUUCUUCUUAUGAACAGAAAAAAAAAAAAAAAAACUACAUUGUCUGUCCUCCACUACCAGUAAGGAUGACACAGUGUGACACAGUCUUGUCAAUGAGGGGUAACUAAAUGUGUUAAGAGAAGUUUCUAGUAAAGCUCCUUAAAAAGGGGUAACUUCAGAGCACACACGCUUUUGCUCUAAUUUCUGCCCCUUCUUCCUGUCUGUAUCUUAGGGGAGAUGCUAGCAUGGAACAGGCAUCUCGCAACAAUACAGCCAUGUGAGAAAAGCCAAGUGAAAAGCUUGGGUCACAUCUGAAAAGGCUGGGUUAACAGGACACAUAGGCACUGUGUGUGAACUCAAAACUGCAUAAUUUUUGCACACUGCCACCAUCCCUGCUGCCUUAGGUUGUGAAGAAAAAAAUCCCUUUGUGGACAACAGAUCUGCACUGCUCUUAUAUCUCUAACACUGUUUGCAGGAGGACUGUGCUGCCAUAAUUUACUCUUAGCAUCUGCGACUUAGACAUUUUUUUACACCUAAAUUCUUUAAAAAAUAGCCAUGUGUACCUCUUUGCUGUAAGUUCAAAACUUGACAUUUCUUAUCAAUGGAAGGUCUAAGAUCCUCCAGUGGAGUGCAGGUAUACAAUUCGAAAACAAUUCGGUUGACAAUAAGUUCGUUAAUUUUGACAAUUAGACUUUAAAAAUUAGUACCACAGAUAUUUUAGAAUAGUAGUACUAUAAAUGUACCAUGAAAUGAUUUUGUAACACGUUACCAAUUUUAAAUGUGUAGAUCCAUAUUUUAAGUUUUGUGGAGAUGAAUUACUCUCUUUUUAGAUCCCUAUUUAUUUUCAGCCAGUCAUUCCAGCUUUGUAUUAUUUGUAAUAGUGAAACACUGAAACAGGUUCAGACCUAAAAAUAUAAAGGGUUAUUGCAACAGCUUACGGAGUUACACAAAAGUUAUGUAUUACUUAAUUGUGGCCACAAAAUAAAAUCUACAACUCCCUCAGUUUACAGAAAGAUCACCUCUGUAUGCACAUAUAUAUUAUCAAGCCGUUACUGUUAUUUUCCUAGAUAAAUGGGCUAAUAGAAUCUUUUAGUGUCCUAUUUAAUUUUUCUGUAAUGAACUGUUAUUAACUUUUCAUAAGAACAAUUUUUAAAAAUGAAAAGACUUCCUCUUGAUGGACAUUUAACAAGAGAAACAAAAAGUGUUGCUGAGAAAUGAAGAGCAUUCAGGAACCAGUGGACGCUCACUUUUGCUGCUGAGAUACCAUCACCGAUGACCCAGACUGCUCCAGGCCCAUGAACUGCUCCUGAGCUGCUUGUAGGACCUACGUGGCCACGAGCCCUGGCUGCAAUGCCAGAGAUGCCCUCUCAUGUCUGCCUUUACUUCCACAUGUUGCCUUGCCCCAUCCUGUGCUCACGUGUCUCUCUGAUGCUUAAAAAGUGUGCUUUCGUGUAUUCAAUAAACGCUAGAAUUUGAGUUAUAUGCCAAA